RNAcentral lists this transfer RNA (69 nucleotides) under Rattus norvegicus (Norway rat). It matches the Rfam family "tRNA". From Rfam's summary of the family: Transfer RNA (tRNA) molecules are approximately 80 nucleotides in length. Their secondary structure includes four short double-helical elements and three loops (D, anti-codon, and T loops). The record is from Rfam by way of RNAcentral. Lineage: Eukaryota; Metazoa; Chordata; Mammalia; Rodentia; Muridae.
GGGGAUUUGGCUCAGUGGUAGAGUGCUUGCCUAGGAAGCACAAGGUCCUGGGUUCGAUCCCCAGCCCCG